GCUCCUGUUAAAUCCGACUUGUCUUUUGCGCAUUGCGUCUGGCGCAACCCAUCUCCGCACUUUUCUCCUCUCAUCUCACGUAGGCUCUCACGAGAUAGCUUGGACGACGACCUACUGGACGCCGCAAGUGACGGACAUAUGCAUCACGACCGAUAUGCUACCAAUGAAAACAUGGAAAACGGAAAAUGUUCAACGGUCGAGCACGCCCACCGGCCAUUGCCAUGAAAAUGGCAGGUGCUCCAAGCAGUGGCGGCAAUCAUUGGACUGGCCCGAAAACGUGGUGGUGUAAAGCCCAUCUAAAGGCCCCCUCAUGAUAAGCGUUGCCGUUCGACGAAACGGGCAUUUCUCGGAUUGCCAGGACCAGGACAUCGAGACAGCCCGACGGGACCCAGUCCGGAGUCGGAUCGAUGUUCUGUGUCCCCCCGCUUGCAUCGGGCAUCUUGAACGCCAUAUUGGCAAACUGAACGUCAGCUGGACAUGCUGACCUUGAAGAUGCGCUUGGUCAUUUUUGAAAAUGGGCUCUCUGUAGAACAAGACUCCAUCACCGAAAUUCAAUGACCCUACCUACUUGGCUUUUGUAUGGGCUUUUUUGGUCGGCAUCGAGAUUCACAAGGGAAGAAUGAAGGCCAGCCGGUUGCAACGAGUUCUUGGCGCUCCGGAUAUCGACCCGUCAAUACCUAUCUUUCGCUCUUUUCGUGUCAGGUCCUUGAAGCUUUGACAAUUCUCCGUCAAUCAAUUCUGCACUUGAAAGCUUCCA
Molecule: non-coding RNA, 757 nt
Organism: Neurospora crassa OR74A
Lineage: Eukaryota; Fungi; Ascomycota; Sordariomycetes; Sordariales; Sordariaceae
Source: RefSeq, a predicted model, not a curated record